This 434-nucleotide ribosomal RNA is filed under the name uncultured Coprococcus sp. RNAcentral describes it as "partial 16S ribosomal RNA". It matches the Rfam family "Bacterial small subunit ribosomal RNA", at positions 341 to 792 of the family's 1533-position model. The record is from RNAcentral. Lineage: Bacteria; Bacillati; Bacillota; Clostridia; Lachnospirales; Lachnospiraceae.
ACGGGAGGCAGCAGUGGGGAAUAUUGCACAAUGGGGGAAACCCUGAUGCAGCAACGCCGCGUGAAGGAUGAAGGCCCUUGGGUCGUAAACUUCUGUUCUAAGGGAAGAUAAUGACGGUACCUUAGGAGCAAGUCCCGGCUAACUACGUGCCAGCAGCCGCGGUAAUACGUAGGGGGCAAGCGUUAUCCGGAAUUAUUGGGCGUAAAGCGUGCGUAGGCGGGACAGUAAGUCAGAUGUGAAAUAUGCCGGCUCAACUGGCAGACUGCAUUUGAAACUGCGGUUCUUGAGUGAAGUAGAGGUAAGCGGAAUUCCUAGUGUAGCGGUGAAAUGCGUAGAUAUUAGGAGGAACAUCAGUGGCGAAGGCGGCUUACUGGGCUUUAACUGACGCUGAGGCUCGAAAGCGUGGGGAGCAAACAGGAUUAGAUACCCUGGUA